This 478-nucleotide ribosomal RNA is filed under the name uncultured bacterium. RNAcentral describes it as "partial 16S ribosomal RNA". It matches the Rfam family "Bacterial small subunit ribosomal RNA", at positions 28 to 523 of the family's 1533-position model. The record is from RNAcentral.
GACGAACGCUGGCGGCGUGCUUAACACAUGCAAGUCGAACGGUAAGGCCCUUCGGGGUACACGAGUGGCGAACGGGUGAGUAACACGUGGGUGAUCUGCCCUGCACUUCGGGAUAAGCCUGGGAAACUGGGUCUAAUACCGGAUAGGACUACUGGCUUCAUGGUUGGGGGUGGAAAGCUUUGUCGGGGUGGGAUGGGCCCGCGGCCUAUCAGCUUGGUGGUGGGGUAAUGGCCUACCAAGGCGACGACGGGUAGCCGGCCUGAGAGGGUGACCGGUCACACUGGGACUGAGAUACGGCCCAGACUCGUACGGGAGGCAGCAGUGGGGAAGAUUGCACAAUGGGCGCAAGCCUGAUGCAGCGACGCCGCGUGAGGGACGACGGCCUUCGGGUUGUAAACCUCUUUCAGCUAUGACGAAGCGCAAGUGACGGUAGUAGCAGAAGAAGGACCGGCCAACUACGUGCCAGCAGCCGCGGUAA